Molecule: long non-coding RNA, 1395 nt
Organism: Centropristis striata (black sea bass)
Lineage: Eukaryota; Metazoa; Chordata; Actinopteri; Perciformes; Serranidae
Exons: 4
Source: RefSeq, a predicted model, not a curated record
UCACGACUACAACUCUACGCUUCAUCACUGGUAAUAAAAAGGUUAAAAAAUGCUGUUACUUUAUGGCGUCAUAUUUGAGUCAAAAGUCGUGCGAGCGAUAACACAUCUGCAUGCGCAUUUAUUUCGUGUCACACGCGCAGAUUUCAACUGCUGCGCGCACUUGUCUGAUCUUCGCGCACAUAUUCAGCAACUGAGUUAAGCAGAUUCUCCCCCAUGCUCGCUCGCCAUGGAGCUCUGCUCGCGCGGAGUGAGGACUUUUGACACAUUGGGGGCGGGGCCAAGGCUGACCCCAGGCCUCUUAUGAUUGGUCAUUUUCCAGCCCUCCACGUCUGUGCCUUUUCAGUUUACUGCUGACAGCUGGUAGCGGCGGCAUCAUCUAAAGAACAACAACGGUUGUUUGAUGAACAUUGGAAGACUUUCUGAUCAGAGACUGGAGCGGUGGUCCGGAGAGAGGAGGAUGCUCUUUGGAUUUAUUCAUAUCAACACUACUUCACCUAAGAGACUUGAGUAUCCAGUUCUUCGUUGACCUUCAGCAUUCAGUUGUUUGUCUUCACCUUUUCAGGUUUCCUGUGUCCAGCAUCUUCAAGACAGACUAAGCUAACUUUUCAUAUUUUUUGCACAUUUAUAUUUAGGUUAGGUUAGGAGUACGUUAGGUUUAUAGUAGAGUAUUUAGUUUGUAUAGUUUAGCUUUUUAUGCUGGUGUAGGGACAGUUAAGUUAGCAAAUUAAUUUAGUUCAGAUCACUUACAGUUGCAUAUUAUUGUUACAAUUGUGUUAUUUUGUGAGUUAUUGUUGUACAGGCUAUUGUAUAUUGCAGGACCAAGUGAGACGAGGAAGACCACUGCUUCCAAGAUGCCGCUCAGAAAGUGCGUUGGACAAGUCUCGACCUUGCAGAUCCUGCCCCACUUAGCCCAACCACUUCCGACCAUGGGGUACCUCAAAGACCUCCGUCAACCAGCCGGCUUUGGAUGAUGGAUAACGCACCCACAACUCCUUCUCCAGUCUACAAGGUUCUGAAAAUACAGACACCCCUACAGUCCAAGAACAGCUGGAUGACCUCUGGACCCACUUGCCCCCGUUCACCAGUUGAAAAGAUAGGCUUUUUAAAAAAGUCUUCAAUUGUUAACUCUGCACAAAGUGAUACACAAAACAUUGUAUGUAUUCAAUUUCAACAAACACAAACAUGAAAUGUAUAUUUAAAUACAUGACUUAAUGCAAAUCAAUCAUACUAAACAUCAUCUUUUUUUUUUUAAACCAACCAUUGCACACACUUCCAUCCAAGGAGAGGUUACAUCUUGAUGGUAACUUUUUAGAUUAACAAAACUUUUGUGAGAUUUGUAAUUGUUGUUUCUGGGGAGGGGGCGGAGAGGGUAAGUCUAAACAUUGCAUGCAAGAG